UUUCCGUCUGUGAUUGGAAGCGUGCCAAUGACAUGUUCGAGUAUUACCACUUGUAUCGUCUCAAUACUCUGUCUUGCAGGUGAGACCCAAGGGUAUCCACCGCCGACAGCAGUGACUAAUCCUUUUCGCCGCGGGAGCUCUCCCAAUGGAGGUAAACGGCUGGCCACGAAAUGCGCUCCAUUCCCAUGGGCGGGGAUCGAACCCCCAACCUCAUGGUUAAGGAAUGAGGUGACCUACCACCACACCACAUCUCAUAGUUGUCCUUUUUUCAAUAAAGCUAAUGGUUAUUUAUUUCUUAAAUUGUCUAUAAUACCCUUGUAAUCAUGACACAACAUUUUUUUUAUAUUUCUCUAUAAUUAUCGUAUGGUUUUUAUAUUA
Molecule: long non-coding RNA, 378 nt
Organism: Prunus avium (sweet cherry)
Lineage: Eukaryota; Viridiplantae; Streptophyta; Magnoliopsida; Rosales; Rosaceae
Source: RefSeq, a predicted model, not a curated record